RNAcentral lists this ribosomal RNA (253 nucleotides) under uncultured bacterium. Its description in RNAcentral is "partial 16S ribosomal RNA". It matches the Rfam family "Bacterial small subunit ribosomal RNA", at positions 524 to 776 of the family's 1533-position model. The record is from RNAcentral.
UACGGGGGGAGCAAGCGUUGUUCGGAUUUACUGGGCGUAAAGGGCGCGUAGGCGGCGUGACAAGUCACUUGUGAAAUCUCCGGGCUUAACUCGGAACGGUCAACUGAUACUGUGCGACUAGAGUGCAGAAGGGGCAACUGGAAUUCUCGGUGUAGCGGUGAAAUGCGUAGAUAUCGAGAGGAACACCUGCGGCGAAGGCGGGUUGCUGGGCUGACACUGACGCUGAGGCGCGAAAGCCAGGGGAGCGAACGGG